This 500-nucleotide ribosomal RNA is filed under the name uncultured bacterium. RNAcentral describes it as "partial 16S ribosomal RNA". It matches the Rfam family "Bacterial small subunit ribosomal RNA", at positions 30 to 523 of the family's 1533-position model. The record is from RNAcentral.
AUUGAACGCUGGCGGAAUGCUUUACACAUGCAAGUCGAACGGCAGCACGGACUUCGGUCUGGUGGCGAGUGGCGAACGGGUGAGUAAUGUAUCGGAACGUGCCCAGUCGUGGGGGAUAACGUAGUGAAAAUUACGCUAAUACCGCAUACGAUCUAUGGAUGAAAGCGGGGGAUCGCAAGACCUCGCGCGAUUGGAGCGGCCGAUAUCAGAUUAGGUAGUUGGUGGGGUAAAGGCCCACCAAGCCAACGAUCCGUAGCUGGUCUGAGAGGACGGCCAGCCACACUGGAACUGAGACACGGUCCAGACUCCUACGGGAGGCAGCAGUGGGGAAUUUUGGACAAUGGGCGAAAGCCUGAUCCAGCCAUUCCGCGUGCAGGAUGAAGGCCCUCGGGUUGUAAACUGCUUUUGUACAGAACGAAAAGGUUUCUACUAAUACUAGGAGCUCAUGACGGUACUGUAAGAAUAAGCACCGGCUAACUACGUGUCAGCCGCCGCAGUAA